AGCUUAGCAGGUGGAGACAACUCACUUC
Molecule: non-coding RNA, 28 nt
Filed under: Homo sapiens (human)
Lineage: Eukaryota; Metazoa; Chordata; Mammalia; Primates; Hominidae
Source: RNAcentral